This 73-nucleotide microRNA precursor is filed under the name Loxodonta africana (African savanna elephant). RNAcentral's name for it is "miRNA (ENSLAFG00000033053.1)". The record is from RNAcentral. Lineage: Eukaryota; Metazoa; Chordata; Mammalia; Proboscidea; Elephantidae.
AUCUUGUUAAAAUGCAGAUUCAGAUUCAGCAAAUCUGGAGUGAGGCCUGAGAUUCUGCAUUUUUAGCAAGCUC